GUUGUUGGGUAGGGGAGCGUUCUGUAAGCCGUUGAAGGUGUCCUGUGAGGGGUGCUGGAGGUAUCAGAAGUGCGAAUGCUGACAUAAGUAACGAUAAAGCGGGUGAAAAGCCCGCUCGCCGGAAGACCAAGGGUUCCUGUCCAACGUUAAUCGGGGCAGGGUGAGUCGACCCCUAAGGCGAGGCCGAAAGGCGUAGUCGAUGGGAAACAGGUUAAUAUUCCUGUACUUGGUGUUACUGCGAAGGGGGGACGGAGAAGGCUAUGUCAGCCGGGCGACGGUUGUCCCGGUUUAAGCAUGUAGGCGGAGGUUCCAGGUAAAUCCGGUACCUUGUUAACGCUGAGGUGUGAUGACGAGGCACUACGGUGCUGAAGUGAUAAAUGCCCUGCUUCCAGGAAAAGCCUCUAAGCAUCAGGUAACACGAAAUCGUACCCCAAACCGACACAGGUGGUCAGGUAGAGAAUACCAAGGCGCUUGAGAGAACUCGGGUGAAGGAACUAGGCAAAAUGGUGCCGUAACUUCGGGAGAAGGCACGCUGAUAUGUAGGUGAAGUCCCUGCGGACGGAGCUGAAAUCAGUCGAAGAUACCAGCUGGCUGCAACUGUUUAUUAAAAACACAGCACUGUGCAAACACGAAAGUG
Molecule: ribosomal RNA, 637 nt
Filed under: Enterobacter hormaechei subsp. hoffmannii
Lineage: Bacteria; Pseudomonadati; Pseudomonadota; Gammaproteobacteria; Enterobacterales; Enterobacteriaceae
Description: bacterial LSU rRNA
Rfam family: Bacterial large subunit ribosomal RNA
Source: RNAcentral